Molecule: non-coding RNA, 342 nt
Organism: Ceratotherium simum simum (southern white rhinoceros)
Lineage: Eukaryota; Metazoa; Chordata; Mammalia; Perissodactyla; Rhinocerotidae
Source: RefSeq, a predicted model, not a curated record
GUUAUGGAGAGCUCAUCAGGCCUGUACAGAAAACAGGGCUUCUGACUUGUUUGUUCUCAAAGGGCAAAUUGUUGUGCCUCAUUCGCACGUUAAUAAAAGUACUAUCCAGUAGUGGGCUUCCGUAUUGUCUCAGCCUCCACUGGAAAUGCAGCAAGGAUUCCUAGCACAUCCCAGUUGCCAUAGCAACAGCAGUCUUUCCCAUAAUGAGCUGCAUCAUCUGAACUGAUGUCACAGCAUCAUGCAGCAGGUCAAACAAGGCAUCUCCUAGUAUUGCAUCCUACAGAUGUGCUGUAAACAUCAAAAGAAGACGGUGGGAACAGGAGAUGGUGAGUUGGAAAGAAG